This is a non-coding RNA of Trichobilharzia regenti, 119 nucleotides long. NCBI's taxonomy places the organism in Eukaryota, Metazoa, Platyhelminthes, Trematoda, Strigeidida, Schistosomatidae. The record is from Rfam.
UAACUCUGGUGUCUCCUCAUUUGCGGAUAAAUCUUUCGCCUUUUACUAAAGAUUUCCGUGGGGAGGCACAAUACAAUGAGUCUUGUCUCAUUUUUUUCAGCUCUGUCUUCGGACGGAGU